Molecule: long non-coding RNA, 226 nt
Filed under: Citrus maxima (pomelo)
Lineage: Eukaryota; Viridiplantae; Streptophyta; Magnoliopsida; Sapindales; Rutaceae
Description: long non-coding RNA (CMAX_LNC000606)
Source: RNAcentral
UUUUGGAGAUGGCGGCUGGGGAAGAGAGAAAGAAAAAUAUGGAUUUAGGGUUUCAUGGUUUUUAUCAUUGAGGUCCCUAUGGCUCCAUAAUUUUUUCUUUUGGGUAGACACGUUUAAAUUUUUUGCAUUUAAGUCCAAAAACAGUUUUGGGCUUUGUGAAUCCUAGCUUUAGGCCCAAUUUCAAUUGGGUUUAAUGGAUUAUAAUGCAUAGACAAAAUUGAACACA